Molecule: non-coding RNA, 146 nt
Organism: Gossypium arboreum
Lineage: Eukaryota; Viridiplantae; Streptophyta; Magnoliopsida; Malvales; Malvaceae
Source: Rfam
UGCUAAAUUUUUUAUCCAUUUGUACUGUUAACAAUUGGCAUGGUUGACGGAAUAACCAAACAGUAACAUUUGACAUGCCACAUGUACCUCAUAGUAACAUGCAUGAACUAAUUUUUAACAGUAAAAAAUGGAUGAAAUUUUUAACA